RNAcentral lists this small nuclear RNA (105 nucleotides) under Cercocebus atys (sooty mangabey). Lineage: Eukaryota; Metazoa; Chordata; Mammalia; Primates; Cercopithecidae. The record is from RNAcentral.
GUGCUUGCUUUGGCCACACAUAUACUAAAACUGGAAUGAUGCAGAGAUUAGCAUGGCCCCUGCACAAGGAUGACACUUUUAUUACUUGGAAAAAAAAAAAAAAAA